CCUACGGGAGACAGCAGUGGGGAAUAUUGGGCAAUGGGCGCAAGCCUGACCCAGCAACGCCGCGUGAAGGAAGAAGGCUUGCGGGUUGUAAACUUCUUUUCUCAGGGACGAAGCAAGUGACGGUACCGGAGGAAUAAGCCACGGCUAACUACGUGCCAGCAGCCGCGGUAAUACGUAGGUGGCAAGCGUUAUCCGGAUUUACGGGGUGUAAAGGGCGUGUAGGCGGGACUGCAAGUCAGAUGUGAAAACCACGGGCUCAACCUGUGGCCUGCCUUUGAAACGGUAGUUCUUGCGUACUGGAUAGGCAGCCGGACUUCCUCGUGUAGCGGUGAACUUCGUCGCUCUUAGGAG
This 351-nucleotide ribosomal RNA is filed under the name uncultured bacterium. Its description in RNAcentral is "partial 16S ribosomal RNA". It matches the Rfam family "Bacterial small subunit ribosomal RNA", at positions 338 to 703 of the family's 1533-position model. The record is from RNAcentral.